Erpetoichthys calabaricus (reedfish) is the source of this 423-nucleotide long non-coding RNA. RefSeq lists it as uncharacterized. The record is from RefSeq and is a predicted model, not a curated record. Lineage: Eukaryota; Metazoa; Chordata; Cladistia; Polypteriformes; Polypteridae. The transcript is spliced from 3 exons.
UAAUGGCUUUCAUUUUCCAGAGGUCAAUGCAUCUUCACCUCUCCAGCAUUGCUGCUGUCAUUGUCCAACAUUUUUAAGCAGCACUAAAACAUGCACAGUGUCAUCUAACCUCACAGAUUUUAGAGGUUCAAACAAACAUCAAGGCUGUCACAAAGUAAAUAAACACUUGCCAAAUUAUCAGUGGCCAACUCCAUCCUCUAACCAACUUCCUCCAGAUGUCCGACAUAUCCUGUCUAAGCACAAAACAGGCGGUGCUUUUGAAAAUGAUGCUCAAUAGGAAAAAGAAAAAUGGAGUCUGCCUGUCAUAUAAUAAACAUGAACUAACUGAAGAGUAAACCCACAGUAUGCUUGGGUGAUUUCACAGAGUGUAUGGAUCUAAAUACAUUGUAUUUUUUUAAUUAAAGUAUUAAAAAAUCUUUUGAG